Molecule: long non-coding RNA, 3467 nt
Organism: Mus musculus (house mouse)
Lineage: Eukaryota; Metazoa; Chordata; Mammalia; Rodentia; Muridae
Product: predicted gene, 52731
Exons: 3
Source: RefSeq, a predicted model, not a curated record
AAUGGCCUGAGCAGGAAAACCCCUGUGCUAUUAGAAGUUUAGAGAUCAGAGGCUGGGGAGCCAGCACUUGCCUGGCAAGUGUGAUGCCCAGGAUCCCACCUUCAGCUCAAUCAGGGAAAAGUGCAAAUUUUAGCUUAGGCAUGCUUCCCCCUAUUAAAAUUUUUUAACUAAUUAGCUGAAAGAUACCAAUAUAAAGUCUAUCUGUGUAGCAAAGAUAUUUGAUAAGAUAAAUGCUCUGGGAAGCACCGAUGUAGAGAAUGGAAGCCAUCCUCCCGUAGGACAGGCUCUGAGAUGAGUGGCCAGGAAGGCUAACCUGACCUGAUAACAUCGAUCGGCGACCGCAUCGACUGCCGCUCCCGCUGGGGAACCACGUGCCACGUGAAUACCAGCCGCCAGUCAAAGCCGCCAAUCUGCGGCUCUCCCGAGUUGCCCAGGUACUCAAAGGUGUUCCAGUCAAUCACAUCGAUAACAGGGCACACGACUGCGGACUCCUUCUCGUGGAUCCUGUAAAUACCCAACACAUCCAUCUCAUCUGUCUGCUCCAGACCGCGCAGGGCGGCAGCAGGACCGCUCCUGGGUGAGAAGACCCACCUCCCUUAUUUGGGGGUCUGGGUCAUGUUGGGGACCACCAAGGAGCAUGGAAGAAGGUGAAGAGGAACUGAAACGGGAACAUCCCACAAUUCCAUCUCCUCUAAUCCCGUCCGCGGGCAUUCUGGCUAAAUCUGAAUCUCUUUCAAAGAGUCAAGGCGUGUGAAAAUCACACAUGCUCAAGUUCUCAGGAGUGCAAAAACGCUUCAUCAAGAAACAACUAUCUUUGGGAUGGCUCGGUGGAUAAAGGAGCCUGCGGCCAAGACUAAUGACCCGAGUUCAAUCCCUGGGACCCACGUGGUGGGAAGAGAGACUGACUCCUCCAAAAUGUCCUCUGACUUCCACACAUGCAGUGUGAGCUGGGUGCGGCUAUGGUCUGACGUUCUGCCUGACGGAAGAAGGUCGGGGACGUCUAGAAAAAGGGAGGCAGGAAGACCAGAAGCUUCAACUGACUGUCCACCAUCAAGAGUUCACAUACAGGAGACCUCAACCCAUGCUGACUGUCCACCAUCAAGAGUUCACAUACAGGAGACCUCAACCCAUGCUGACUGUCCACCAUCAAGAGACCUCAACCCAUGUUUAUUACCCACCCACCCCCCACCGUCCUCAUCUCAGACUGUUUUAAAAGAAACCCCUGCAUAGCGCAGCACCCACAGUUUCUUGAACAUGUAUCUCUAAAAUAAAGAUUUGUUCCUUAACAUAUCUGUUUCUGCCACGCCUUAGAAAUGGAAUGCCUCUUGGGGCUACCCUAGCUCUGCUCUGUAGUAAUCCAUCAAAGCUAAGCAGGCGGCUGACAUAGUUUCAGGAACCAGAAAGGGAAAAGUUGCCAACUGAAUUGUACAGAACAGAUUCAUUUUAGAGAUGUCAGCAUGGGACUCCACUCACACAUAAAAUCCAGUAUUUAAUCUUUACCUCUGAAAUCACUUCCUGAACUGGAGAGAGAGUUAGUUCUGUGGUUAAGGGUGCUAUCUGCUCUUGCAGAUGACCCAGUUUGAUUCCCAGUACCCAUAAUAGAAGGCUCACAACUCCUGUAACUCUAACUCCAGGGGAUUCAACGUCUCUGGGCCUGCUAGCACAUACACACACAGACAUACAAUUAAUAAUAAAAACUAAUAUAAGCUUCACAGGUUUGGUUUUAAAGCUGCGGUUCAGUGAUGUCAAACGGUAUGCUCAGCUCACAGAGCACAGGGCUGUGAACACACCGGAUGUCUAUAACCAAUGGUCGUCUGGGGAGCUCCUGGCUCAUUCCUCAUAUCCAAUAGGAGGCAUCCUAUAUGGCACUCCUUCCCACCAAACAGUGACCUUCCCUUGCCCCUUCCCAGGGCCCUCUAGGAGAGUCCAUGUUCCCAGGAUAAAUGUCACAACCACUUCUGCAGUGAGCCCUGAGGCUCCGUGGCCAUGGCCUGGCUCUAGUACCGUUGUACUGGCUUCUCUAGAAUCACAAAUGGCCUCUUGAGAGACUCUGUGUGGGGCAGGAAGCUUCUCUCCUCAGCCAGUUCCACAGUCUCAUCCCAGCUGCAUCCUGAGGCACUCAAGGAAAAUUGAGCUGCGGCAGCAGGGACAUCCUGCUGUCGUGCAGCCAGGCAGGAGCAACACCUUCAGACCCCAGGCUGUAAUUCAUGGGCACAACAGUACCAGCAUCAGGAAACUCUAGUAAGCCACACACGGGAGUCUGAUUGAUAUUCAAGGUGAGAAUUCAAUCCAGCCUCAGAAGGAAUAACAUCAAAGAAGAAAGCAAAAAUAGUAUAUCUCAAACUACCAUACAAGAAGAGAAGACAUGAAGAAGAAGAAGCAGGGAAGUGGAGGAAGAGGAAGGGAGGAAGAAGAAAAGGAAGAGGAAAAAGAAGGUGGUGGUGGGUGACAUUUUCUCCAUAUUACAGUGUAAUGGGGCACAGGAAAGGCAGCUGCCACUUUGUGAGACUAUUGGAGCCGCCCCAUGGGGGAGGCCGUGAACAGGUAAGUGCGCCAUCUAGGGGUCACAGUCUCUUGCCCCAUCAUGGGUUCAGAUGACCAAGACCCAGGCAUCAUGUUGGCUGAGACUUUCUGAGACUCUGACCCAGACCCACCCAUCUAUGGUAUUCCUAAACUCCAGAUCAAAGAAACGUAAAAUAAUGAAUGGCCAUUGUUAUUUAAAUUGUGACAUUUUGUGGCGAUCCAUCCUUCAAAACAAACCAUAAGGAAGUCCAAGCUGAGGGUCCCUUAAACCAACAACACUGUAUUCACAUCAGUGGCCUGAGACAGGCAGAGGCUGAGCCAGGACACAACACCGUGAGUGCUGGCCUACGAUCCAAACACUGGAGAAGUAGAGGCAUGGGGAUCAGGGGUUCAAAGCCAUCAUCAGUCAUACAGAAUGUUCCAGGCCAGCUGGACCUACACAGUGAGGCCCUGUCUCAAAAAACAACAAAACAAAAAUAUUGCAACAAGCCAGGCGUGGUGGGUCACACCUGUAAUCCCAGUACUUUAGAGGCCAAGGCAGGGGGAUGAUGGUGAGUUCCAGGGCAGCCUGAGAUACAGAGAAGCCCUGUGUUGUAAAACAAAGCCAAAUGAGCAAAAGACAAGAUCAUAACAAAUACGACAUAUAACAUAAAUGGCAUAAUCAAAUCCAAAGUAUCAGUAUUAAUGAGCACAAUAAAUAUAAAUGAUAGAAACAUCUGCUUGAAAGUCUCUCUCUCUCUCCCUCCCUUCCUCCAAUUUUCAGAUAUGAGGUCUCAGCUACUGCUCCAGUGCCAUGCCUGCCUGCCUGCCUGCCACCACACUCCCUGCCAUGACAGUCAUGGUCUCACCCUCUGAAACUGUAAGCAAACUGUAACUAAAUGCUUCCUUUUUAUAAGUUGCCUUGGCCAUACUGUACCUUCACAGCUAUUUAGUGAUAUGCCUAA